Symphalangus syndactylus (siamang) is the source of this 290-nucleotide long non-coding RNA. RefSeq lists it as uncharacterized. The record is from RefSeq and is a predicted model, not a curated record. NCBI's taxonomy places the organism in Eukaryota, Metazoa, Chordata, Mammalia, Primates, Hylobatidae.
GGGAGCGGCCGGUCCGGGGGGAGCUCCUCCGCUGCUCUGCGCUCGUUAUUCACAGGACGCGGCGGCGCUUCCCGGUGCCGCUUCCCAGUCCCCUGGGUGGAGGCUGCCGUCUAAACCUGACUCCAGAGUUUAAGAUGCAAUGGCCAGAAGACAUGAGCGUGUCACUAGAAGGAUGUGGACGUGGGCUCCGGGGCUGUUGAUGAUGACGGUGGUCUUUUGGGGUCAUCAGGGGAAUGGACAAGGCCAAGGUGGUGUGUGCAUGAGAAAGUGCUUAACAUCUGAAAACGGAG